This 327-nucleotide ribosomal RNA is filed under the name uncultured eukaryote. RNAcentral describes it as "partial 18S ribosomal RNA". It matches the Rfam family "Eukaryotic small subunit ribosomal RNA", at positions 1470 to 1796 of the family's 1831-position model. The record is from RNAcentral.
CCCUUAGAUGUUCUGGGCCGCACACGCGCUACACUGAAGGAGGCAGCGUGUACUCCUGGAUCGAAAGAUUUGGGUAACCCGCGAAUCUCCUUCGUGCUAGGGAUUGAGGUUUGCAAUUAUCCUUCAUGAACGAGGAAUUCCCAGUAAGUGCAAGUCAUAAGCUUGCGCUGACUACGUCCCUGCCCUUUGUACACACCGCCCGUCGCUACUACCGAUUGAAUGAUUUAGUGAGGACUUCGGACUGGGUCCGAUGCGGCUUUCGGGCUGCGUCGGUAUUCUGGAAAGAUGUCCAAACUGUAUCAUUUAGAGGAAGUAAAAGUCGUAACA